This 253-nucleotide ribosomal RNA is filed under the name uncultured bacterium. Its description in RNAcentral is "partial 16S ribosomal RNA". It matches the Rfam family "Bacterial small subunit ribosomal RNA", at positions 524 to 776 of the family's 1533-position model. The record is from RNAcentral.
UACGUAGGGUGCGAGCGUUAAUCGGAAUUACUGGGCGUAAAGCGUGCGCAGGCGGUUUUGUAAGCCAGAUGUGAAAUCCCCGGGCUUAACCUGGGAACUGCAUUUGUGACUGCAUGGCUAGAGUGCGGCAGAGGGGGAUGGAAUUCCGCGUGUAGCAGUGAAAUGCGUAGAUAUGCGGAGGAACACCGAUGGCGAAGGCAAUCCCCUGGGCCUGCACUGACGCUCAUGCACGAAAGCGUGGGGAGCAAACAGG